GGUGAAUCAUGAUAACUCCACGAAUCGCAUGGCCCWGCGCCGGCGAUGUUUCAUUCAAAUUUCUGCCCUAUCAACUUUCGAYGGUARGRUAWWGGCYUACCRUGGUGGUAACGGGURACGGRGRAUUAGGGUUCKAUUCCGGAGAGGGAGCCUGAGAAACGGCUACCACAUCCAAGGAAGGCAGCAGGCGCGCAAAUUACCCAAUCYUGACACARGGAGGUAGUGACAAUAAAUAACAAUACCGGGGUUUUUCAACUCUGGUAAUUGGAAUGAGUACAAUCUAAAUCCCU
This 290-nucleotide ribosomal RNA is filed under the name Coccomyxa sp. 091. Its description in RNAcentral is "partial 18S ribosomal RNA". It matches the Rfam family "Eukaryotic small subunit ribosomal RNA", at positions 247 to 536 of the family's 1831-position model. The record is from RNAcentral. Lineage: Eukaryota; Viridiplantae; Chlorophyta; Trebouxiophyceae; Coccomyxaceae.